This 460-nucleotide ribosomal RNA is filed under the name uncultured bacterium. RNAcentral describes it as "partial 16S ribosomal RNA". It matches the Rfam family "Bacterial small subunit ribosomal RNA", at positions 338 to 795 of the family's 1533-position model. The record is from RNAcentral.
CCUACGGGAGGCAGCAGUGAGGAAUAUUGGUCAAUGGACGAGAGUCUGAACCAGCCAAGUAGCGUGAAGGAUGACUGCCCUAUGGGUUGUAAACUUCUUUUAUAUGGGAAUAAAAUGUUCCACGUGUGGGAUUUUGUAUGUACCAUAUGAAUAAGGAUCGGCUAACUCCGUGCCAGCAGCCGCGGUAAUACGGAGGAUCCGAGCGUUAUCCGGAUUUAUUGGGUUUAAAGGGAGCGUAGGUGGUUUGUUAAGUCAGUUGUGAAAGUUUGCGGCUCAACCGUAAAAUUGCAGUUGAAACUGGCAGUCUUGAGUACUGUAGAGGUGGGCGGAAUUCGUGGUGUAGCGGUGAAAUGCUUAGAUAUCACGAAGAACUCCGAUUGCGAAGGCAGUUCACUGGACUGCAACUGACACUGAGGCUCGAAAGUGUGGGUAUCAAACAGGAUUAGAUACCCCUGUAGUC